CUGGAUGCCCACGAGCAGGCCAGUUACAAUGAGACAGAAUACCAGGUCGAACGUUUUGGUGCAAGGGGCGACGUCGGGGCAUAUUGGCAGUCUAUUUUUAUGGAACGCGCACCAUUGUCCACUGAUAAAGGCUUUGCACGGCCAACAGCCAGGAAUGUAAGGAACAUGCCAGCCGCAAGACAAGAGCGUGAUUUCAAUGAGGCUCGCGCUCAAGCACAAGCCGGGUCGACCAGUCAUAUGAACAAGCAUGAAAAGAACUAAGCUCUAGUAAUUCAAUUCUUGCUCUCGGCCAAAUAAAUAAUAAAUAACCACAUAAA
Long non-coding RNA from Scaptodrosophila lebanonensis, 317 nucleotides. RefSeq lists it as uncharacterized. The transcript is spliced from 2 exons. Lineage: Eukaryota; Metazoa; Arthropoda; Insecta; Diptera; Drosophilidae. The record is from RefSeq and is a predicted model, not a curated record.